AGAGAGUUAGUCUAAACAAGACAGUUGAUUUCGACCCAACAGAUCAUAACCUAACACUAUGACUCUCUC
Molecule: transfer RNA, 69 nt
Filed under: Podargus strigoides (tawny frogmouth)
Lineage: Eukaryota; Metazoa; Chordata; Aves; Caprimulgiformes; Podargidae
Description: tRNA-Arg
Source: RNAcentral